This 375-nucleotide ribosomal RNA is filed under the name uncultured bacterium. RNAcentral describes it as "bacterial SSU rRNA". It matches the Rfam family "Bacterial small subunit ribosomal RNA", at positions 28 to 426 of the family's 1533-position model. The record is from RNAcentral.
GAUGAACGCUGGCGGUAUGCCUAACACAUGCAAGUCGUACGAGAGUUUUUAACUCUAGUGGCGGACGGGUGAGUAACACGUGAGAAUUUGCCUUUAGGAGGGGGACAACAAUCGGAAACGAAUGCUAAUACCCCAUAUGCUUUCGAGUGAAAUGGAUUUUAUCCGCCUAGAGAGAAGCUCGCGGCUGAUUAGCUUGUUGGUAAGGUAAGAGCUUACCAAGGCGACGAUCAGUAUCUGGUUUGAGAGGACGAUCAGACACACUGGAACUGAGACACGGUCCAGACUCCUACGGGAGGCAGCAGUGGGGAAUUUUCCGCAAUGGGCGAAAGCCUGACGGAGCAAUACCGCGUGCAGGAAGAAGGGCCUUCGGGUUGU